AGGACGAACGCUGGCGGCGUGCUUAACACAUGCAAGUCGAACGGAAAGGCCCGCUUGCGGGUACUCGAGUGGCGAACGGGUGAGUAACACGUGGGCAACCUGCCCUCAGCUCUGGGAUAACUCCGGGAAAACCGGUGCUAAUACUGGAUAUCGACUUCUGCCUCGCAUGGGGUGUUGUUGAAAGUUUUUUCGGCUGGGGAUGGGCCCGCGGCCUAUCAGCUUGUUGGUGGGGUGAUGGCCUACCAAGGCGACGACGGGUA
This 260-nucleotide ribosomal RNA is filed under the name uncultured bacterium. Its description in RNAcentral is "partial small subunit ribosomal RNA". It matches the Rfam family "Bacterial small subunit ribosomal RNA", at positions 26 to 285 of the family's 1533-position model. The record is from RNAcentral.